Molecule: microRNA precursor, 130 nt
Filed under: Vitis vinifera (wine grape)
Lineage: Eukaryota; Viridiplantae; Streptophyta; Magnoliopsida; Vitales; Vitaceae
Description: MIR845_2 microRNA precursor family
Rfam family: MIR845_2 microRNA precursor family
Source: Rfam by way of RNAcentral
AGAACACACAUUGAUUAUCCCCAAGGCCAUGGGAUAAAAAAAAACUUUGCAAAACUAAGUUAGCACACCUUAGAAUGGUUCUAACACGAUUACUAACCUAUGCCUCUAUACUAGUUGAUGGGAAAAACCU